Long non-coding RNA from Esox lucius (northern pike), 987 nucleotides. Lineage: Eukaryota; Metazoa; Chordata; Actinopteri; Esociformes; Esocidae. The record is from Ensembl.
CCUGCCCAAAUGUAUUCAUGUCACCUAUGCUAUCACCUGGGUGGUGCAGUGGCAUGGAUCCUGUCCAAUAACAGUCAGCAGAGCCUGGCCCACCUGUUUAUGUGGGACACCCAAGGAUGUAGCUGUGUGGAACCUGGCUCUUGGGCUCCCCCUUGAUAUGACUCUAAAAGAGAGAGUCUGGCUUCAGCAGCACUUCACUCAGUCUUAUAACAAGGAACUAAAUUAUAGAAGCAAUGGCCCACCCACGUCACUACUAAAGCACAGGAAGCAUAUUCUGGCCCCUGUUGUGAACAGAGCUGCCGCUUUGGGCAACAAGGGGAGCGAGUCUUGCUGAGUUGAACCUUCCAUUGAUCAUCAGUGUUUAGGAGUAAUGCGACCCUGUUACUACCCAUGCGGGCAGAUGAGAGAACAGUCCUCUUAGGUAUACUUGGAGAGGGGCUAACUGUAUGUGCAGUGGGGUCUUCUGGUCAUCAGCCCAUUUUGGACUACCCCUCUGAGGAAUGCCAUUGACAGAACGCCAGUAAGCUCUUCAGCUCUAUGGACCCUGAUCUGUUUUUGUCAUGUUCAUUUGACAACAGAGUAUUCAGAGAUUAAACACACACACACAGAGACUGCAUAUUGUAGUUAGAAAAUGAUAUUUUAUUCGAAGUCAGUUGUGUUUAUUCAAACAUAACUACAGUACCAGUGAGUGGUUUUCUCAUUAAGAUAGGCCGCAUUGUUUUUUGCAACAGUGUUUUAAGAUAUUCAAAUAAAAUACAAAAACAAUGUGUAUGGUAAACUUAGCAUUUGUAUUUUAUGUGAUUUAAUACAAUCAAUUAAUAUGACAAUUAACUGGAAAUGACAGUUUGUUGUUCAGAAUGUAAAAUAGUUGAUCAUUUAUUUUUUUCCUUAUGUGUUGAUAAUAUGUCUCCAGACUGUAUCAUUUAGGGAAUGCCAUGCCUUUGUGUCAGAUGUGGGACCAACAACAUCAUCAUAAAGUAACAUACA